CCUAUCGGUCUCUCUCUCAUCUCUCAAUUCAAUUUCUCAAAUUUGGGGAGGAAAGCCCUAAUCCUAUAUCUGCCUCUCUUCGUGGACGCUGAGGGGUUUCCCCCACCACCGCCGUUCUCCACCAUCGUCGACAACAAUGGCCUCUCUACUCAUUUUCUUUCUCCAGCGAGGCCAUCGCUCGGUCGGAAACCGCUAUCGCGCCAUAACCGUCGCCGUCCGAUAGUACCAGGGAAGCCCGCCAUCGUGGUCGUUGCGGCGGUACACCGCCUUUCCACUUGCAAACGGGAUUCGAAAGCAGGGUCCGACGCCAACCGUGAGGUCUCUGCCUCAGUCGCCAUCGAGCGAGGCUCGGUGCACACCUCCGUCGCUCCAUUCGCUGACGCCCGCCGCCUCCUAACGAUCAGCGCCGUCGUUGACAGCUUUGCGACUGCCUGACUGCCUCUACGGCCUCAACUAAGCCUUCGCUCCUACUCUCUCUUGGCUCCGUUAAAUCGGGCAGAUUUGCUAUGUUUAUUUGGUUUUGUUGUAGUUUGGGUUUAAAGGGGAAAAGCUUCUGCAACUGCUGGAGGUACGAGCUGGAGUUAGGGUGGUUAGGAUUGGGGUGCAAGAUGCUGCAAUUUCCCUCCCUGUGAUCUGGUGCACUCGGCAGUCCGAGGUACUCAGGGACCGAGGCUGACGUCUUCUGAGUUGCCACCUCAUCGGUUUGGCCCAACGGCCGACGAAAAUCUGGGCCGAAAACCGUGCUAGAGGAGAGGCCUGAACUAGUAUCUCCAUAAUGUAUAGACUAGUGUUUCUACUUUGAAACCUUUCCCUUUUUUCUUUCCAUCUGUAUGAAAUUUCUACUAUAGUUAACGUAUUAUGUUUCCUUUAUUUUCAUCGUCAAGCAUUUGUAAUUUAAGACUUCGCCUGAAACUUAUAUAUUGUAUUUUCGUUUACUUACGAAAUAAACGUUAAACCUACGCUUCAUUUGA
Salvia splendens (bonfire salvia) is the source of this 971-nucleotide long non-coding RNA. RefSeq lists it as uncharacterized. The record is from RefSeq and is a predicted model, not a curated record. NCBI's taxonomy places the organism in Eukaryota, Viridiplantae, Streptophyta, Magnoliopsida, Lamiales, Lamiaceae. The transcript has 2 exons.